Molecule: ribosomal RNA, 253 nt
Filed under: uncultured bacterium
Lineage: Bacteria
Description: partial 16S ribosomal RNA
Rfam family: Bacterial small subunit ribosomal RNA
Source: RNAcentral
UACGUAGGGUGCAAGCGUUGUCCGGAAUUAUUGGGCGUAAAGAGCUCGUAGGCGGUUUGUUGCGUCGGCUGUGAAAACCUGAGGCUCAACCUCAGGCCUGCAGUCGAUACGAGCAGACUAGAGUGUUGCAGGGGAGACUGGAAUUCCUGGUGUAGCGGUGAAAUGCGCAGAUAUCAGGAGGAACCCCGGUGGCGAAGGCGGGUCUCUGGGCAACCACUGACGCUGAGGAGCGAAAGCGUUGGGAGCGAACAGG